CUUACUGUUCGGACGUUGUUGCCUCGAUAUGGCUGGUGACGUUUUUAAUCUCAUGUAUCACCGUUUGUCUUGGAACGCAUAAGAAUUCUUUGCGUUUAUCUUGAUGUAGUCAAGACACCACAUCAACGAUGCAAUUAAUUUUGUUAUGCGGAUCGGUGUAACUCGAACAAAGGCACUCGAUAAGGACCGGAAUUCGGUCGAAACGUCGUGCAAUUCCUAUAUCAAUUGGCCAGUUGGGUCGAAAUAAACCGAUUUAUUUUGAAGAUAUUUAGCUUCAAACUCGAGCAUGAGCGAUAUUUGAGCGAGGAAACAACAAGGAAUGAGAGAGAGUUGAGUUGAAGUAUAUAUACAUGUAUGUAUUUAUCAUUUUAAUGUAGGUAAUCAAAUCUACUCUAUGGAAAUUGCACAAUUAUAUAUGAUAUUUUGCAUUAAUUUAUAAUAGUUGAUAUAACUUAUCAA
Temnothorax curvispinosus is the source of this 459-nucleotide long non-coding RNA. RefSeq lists it as uncharacterized. Lineage: Eukaryota; Metazoa; Arthropoda; Insecta; Hymenoptera; Formicidae. The record is from RefSeq and is a predicted model, not a curated record. The transcript has 3 exons.